CACACUGCCGAGAAAAGCCUCUAGAUAGAAAAUAGGUGCCCGUACCGCAAACCGACACAGGUAGUCAAGAUGAGAAUUCUAAGGUGAGCGAGCGAACUCUCGUUAAGGAACUCGGCAAAAUGACCCCGUAACUUCGGGAGAAGGGGUGCUCUUUAGGGUUAACGCCCAGAAGAGCCGCAGUGAAUAGGCCCAAGCGACUGUUUAUCAAAAACACAGGUCUCUGCUAAACCGUAAGGUGAUGUAUAGGGGCUGACGCCUGCCCGGUGCUGGAAGGUUAAGAGGAGUGGUUAGCUUCUGCGAAGCUACGAAUCGAAGCCCCAGUAAACGGCGGCCGUAACUAUAACGGUCCUAAGGUAGCGAAAUUCCUUGUCGGGUAAGUUCCGACCCGCACGAAAGGCGUAACGAUUUGGGCACUGUCUCAACGAGAGACUCGGUGAAAUCAUAGUACCUGUGAAGAUGCAGGUUACCCGCGACAGGACGGAAAGACCCCGUGGAGCUUUACUGUAGCCUGAUAUUGAAAUUCGGCACAGCUUGUACAGGAUAGGUAGGAGCCUUUGAAACGUGAGCGCUAGCUUACGUGGAGGCGCUGGUGGGAUACUACCCUAGCUGUGUUGGCUUUCUAACCCGCACCACUUAUCGUGGUGG
RNAcentral lists this ribosomal RNA (645 nucleotides) under Staphylococcus aureus. RNAcentral's name for it is "partial 23S ribosomal RNA". It matches the Rfam family "Bacterial large subunit ribosomal RNA", at positions 1601 to 2247 of the family's 2925-position model. Lineage: Bacteria; Bacillati; Bacillota; Bacilli; Caryophanales; Staphylococcaceae. The record is from RNAcentral.